RNAcentral lists this long non-coding RNA (292 nucleotides) under Elaeis guineensis (African oil palm). Its description in RNAcentral is "long non-coding RNA (EGUI_LNC028416)". Lineage: Eukaryota; Viridiplantae; Streptophyta; Magnoliopsida; Arecales; Arecaceae. The record is from RNAcentral.
CGGAGUCAAAUUUAUCAAAUAGGGGAUGAAAGCCACUAAUGCUUCCCUCUCAUGUAGAUCAGUGGUCACAAUCUUUGGUACUUUCUCUCGUCCCACGUGCCCAUCAUUAGUUUAAGCUAAAUUGAGGCUUUUGGGCUCUGGGUUUUCAUAGGGACAUACAUGUUAGAUUCGAGUGGGCUUACAAGUGCCAAUUUGUUGCUUUGUUAUGGAAAGUGAGAGACAUUCAGCAUAAUUGUGUGCCUACUUGUGAGUUUUGGUGCACAAACAUUUUGUUUAGUAGUAUGAUCAUGAC